Molecule: ribosomal RNA, 1396 nt
Filed under: Salmonella enterica subsp. enterica serovar Newport
Lineage: Bacteria; Pseudomonadati; Pseudomonadota; Gammaproteobacteria; Enterobacterales; Enterobacteriaceae
Description: bacterial LSU rRNA
Rfam family: Bacterial large subunit ribosomal RNA
Source: RNAcentral
GGGUUGUGAGGUUAAGCGACUAAGCGUACACGGUGGAUGCCCUGGCAGUCAGAGGCGAUGAAGGGCGUGCUAAUCUGCGAUAAGCGCCGGUAAGGUGAUAUGAACCGUUAUAACCGGCGAUACCCGAAUGGGGAAACCCAGUGUGAUUCGUCACACUAUCAUUAACUGAAUCCAUAGGUUAAUGAGGCGAACCGGGGGAACUGAAACAUCUAAGUACCCCGAGGAAAAGAAAUCAACCGAGAUUCCCCCAGUAGCGGCGAGCGAACGGGGAGGAGCCCAGAGCCUGAAUCAGCAUGUGUGUUAGUGGAAGCGUCUGGAAAGGCGCGCGAUACAGGGUGACAGCCCCGUACACAAAAGCGCAUGUGCUGUGAGCUCGAUGAGUAGGGCGGGACACGUGGUAUCCUGUCUGAAUAUGGGGGGACCAUCCUCCAAGGCUAAAUACUCCUGACUGACCGAUAGUGAACCAGUACCGUGAGGGAAAGGCGAAAAGAACCCCGGCGAGGGGAGUGAAAAAGAACCUGAAACCGUGUACGUACAAGCAGUGGGAGCACAGGUUUACCUGUGUGACUGCGUACCUUUUGUAUAAUGGGUCAGCGACUUAUAUUCUGUAGCAAGGUUAACCGAAUAGGGGAGCCGGAGGGAAACCGAGUCUUAAUUGGGCGUUAAGUUGCAGGGUAUAGACCCGAAACCCGGUGAUCUAGCCAUGGGCAGGUUGAAGGUUGGGUAACACUAACUGGAGGACCGAACCGACUAAUGUUGAAAAAUUAGCGGAUGACCUGUGGCUGGGGGUGAAAGGCCAAUCAAACCGGGAGAUAGCUGGUUCUCCCCGAAAGCUAUUUAGGUAGCGCCUCGUGAACUCAUCUCCGGGGGUAGAGCACUGUUUCGGCUAGGGGGCCAUCCCGGCUUACCAACCCGAUGCAAACUGCGAAUACCGGAGAAUGUUAUCACGGGAGACACACGGCGGGUGCUAACGUCCGUCGUGAAGAGGGAAACAACCCAGACCGCCAGCUAAGGUCCCAAAGUCAUGGUUAAGUGGGAAACGAUGUGGGAAGGCCCAGACAGCCAGGAUGUUGGCUUAGAAGCAGCCAUCAUUUAAAGAAAGCGUAAUAGCUCACUGGUCGAGUCGGCCUGCGCGGAAGAUGUAACGGGGCUAAACCAUGCACCGAAGCUGCGGCAGCGACACUGUGUGUUGUUGGGUAGGGGAGCGUUCUGUAAGCCUGUGAAGGUGGCCUGUGAGGGUUGCUGGAGGUAUCAGAAGUGCGAAUGCUGACAUAAGUAACGAUAAAGCGGGUGAAAAGCCCGCUCGCCGGAAGACCAAGGGUUCCUGUCCAACGUUAAUCGGGGCAGGGUGAGUCGACCCCUAAGGCGAGGCCGAAAGGCGUAGUCGAUGGGAAAC